AUCUCUUCGGAGACAUCUGAUAAAAUUGGAAUGAUACAAAGAAGAUUAGCAUGUCCUCUACGCAAGGAUGACAUGCAUAAAACGAGAAAUGGUCCAAAUGUUU
Small nuclear RNA from Dendrobium catenatum, 103 nucleotides. NCBI's taxonomy places the organism in Eukaryota, Viridiplantae, Streptophyta, Magnoliopsida, Asparagales, Orchidaceae. The record is from RefSeq and is a predicted model, not a curated record.